This 665-nucleotide long non-coding RNA is filed under the name Nicotiana benthamiana. RNAcentral's name for it is "long non-coding RNA (NBEN_LNC033806)". Lineage: Eukaryota; Viridiplantae; Streptophyta; Magnoliopsida; Solanales; Solanaceae. The record is from RNAcentral.
AGAAAUAUUGAAUUAAACUAAAUAAUCGUAAAGAAAGUUAGAGAAUGAACCUCAACUGAAAAGAACGAUUUUCCAUUGAAUCAAGCAUCCGGCAAAACUCAUACAAACGAUCACUUAUGACUCGCACCAGAAAUCCGAUGACAGAGCCUAGGCCUAAAAUCGAUUUGAGACCAGAAUCUUGAAAUUGAAAUAGAACUAGAAACCUCGAACGAAACCUCGUUGGCAACCAAAAAUGGGCGGCGAACUCUCGAACGAACCUGUAACUCUCUAUGGCCAGUCAAGGUCGUUUGUUGUGGAGGCUGCCGGAUUUGGCUCUUCCGUAUCACCGGCUGAUUUUUAUUGACUUUGAACGAAUUUCGUUCAGAAAUAUUCUACCAUUUUUCAAUGCAUAGAAUCUUCUAAUGAGUCUUGAAAAUAUAUAAGAUGGGGUGUCGCAAGAGUUAGAGUUGAGGAUGGGUCUGCUUUAGCUUAGAAAUUCUUUAUGGAUUGGGGUCAGUUGCCCCUUGGAAUUUUUUUGAGCGUUUCUCCCUUUUUUUGAGUCUUCAAUCUAGCCUUUUUCCUAGUUGCUAAUGGAGUUAUUUUUUGUUGCUCAAGAACCAGCCAUGAAAAUGGCUUUUGAAGAAGAAAGAGAAUAUGGGGAGGGGAGGUUCGUUCUUAGUGAAAUG